CUCCAGAUGUUCACUGAUGGACUGGAGUGCUGUGGAUUAUUGUGAGGUUUUUAUCUGCUCUCAUUCUGAUGGCACCCAUUCACUGCAGAGCAUCCAUUGAUGUUCACUGAUGGACUGGAGUGCUGUGGAUUAUUGUGAGGUUUUUAUCUGCUCUCAUUCUGAUGGCACCCAUUCACUGCAGAGCAUCCAUUGGUGAAUUUAAUCUUGAAAUAUAAUGACUUUGAUCUUGAGUUGGUUUUAUUAGUGCUUGGCCGUGCAAUCCUCUUUCGUAAGCAUCAGCUCCAGCACGUAACAAAUACACAAAGAUUAAUGGGGACUCGUGUCACUGCGAGGACAUAAACUGUGCUUAUUAGAAAUCAUACAGGAGGAGAUUUUUUUUUUUUUUGGUAAUGUAAUGCUUGUAGUUUUGUGUGAGGUGUAGGUUAAGGGGAUAGAAAAUACAGUUUGUUCAGUACAAUAACCUUUUUAUUGUACCCUUACCAGUGUGUAUAGGCAUAGAGAUCUGUUUUAUUAUUUUAUUAUUAUUAUAAUAUUAAUUUCAUUUAAUAAUAUAUUAGAGACAGGGAUAGGAAGUCUAAGGUGAGAUCUUUACCUAAUCCCAACCAUUUUCCAAAGUUCAGAGAGGGAGGCUCGGGCUGAGGUUAGGAUUUCUGUAAGUCCAAUCGACAGGUCCUGAGGGACCCGAAGACGGUUAUGCACUGUUCUCUAUAUUAGACACAUACAUAGAGGUCCAAACAACCCCCACGUUGCUGACAAGGGGACACACUGAGGGCAAGAUAGUAACACAAAAAAAGUGUACACUAAAACAAAAAAAUUAAACUUAUAAGAGUGUAAGGGAAGAUGAAAGAGUGCUUAAAUAUAUAUAUAUAUAUAUAUAUAUAUAUAUAUAUAUAUAUAUAUAUAUAUAUAUAUAUAUAUAUAUAUAUAUAUAUAUAUAUAUAUAUAUAUAUAUAUUAUGGAGUCGAUUAAUCAUGAUUGAUCAUAUGCAAUGAAUGGGUUAUUUGUCACUGCAUUUAAAUUAUGUAAUAUUAGAUUAGAUUAGAUUAGAUUCAACUUUACUGUCACUGCACAUGUAGGUACAAGGCAACGAAAUGCAGUUAGCAUCUAACCAGAAGUGCAAUAAGCAGUAAGUACAGAAUAAAGGUCUAUUUCACUUUUCAGAAACGCUGUUCUGAGCUAGAUAUGCUUUAAAACAGCUAGUUUCAUCAUAUGCAUGCUCCUGGGAGCAUUUUAGGCAGAAUUGGUCACUUUUGCAUGAAAAGUUACAUUGCCACUAGAAAUAUGCUAUUCUCACUCAGAAACGCUGUUCUGUGCUAGAUAUGCUUUAAAACAGCUAGUUUCAUCAUAUGCAUGCUCCUGGGAGCAUUUUAGGCAGAAUUGGUCACUUUUGCAUGAAAAGUUACAUUGCCACGAGAAAUAUGCUAUUCUCACUCAGAAACGCUGUUUUGAGCUAGAUAUGCUUUAAAACAGCUAGUUUCAUCAUAUGCAUGCUCCUUGGAGCAUUUUAGGCAGAAUUGGUCACUUUUGCAUGAAAAGUUACAUUGCCACUAAAAAUAUGCUAUUCUCACUCAGAAACGCUGUUCUGAGCUAGAUAUGCUUUAAAACAGCUAGUUUCAUCAUUUGCAUGCUCCUGGGAGCAUUUUAGGCAGAAUUGGUCACUUUUGCAUGAAAAGUUACAUUGCCACUAGAAAUAUGCUAUUCUCACUCAGAAACGCUGUUCUGAGCUAGAUAUGCUUUAAAACAGCUAGUUUCAUCAUAUGCAUGCUCCUAGGAGCAUUUUAGGCAGAAUUGGUCACUUUUGCAUGAAAAGUUACAUUGCCACUAGAAAUAUGCUAUUCU
This is a long non-coding RNA of Carassius gibelio (silver crucian carp), 1839 nucleotides long. RefSeq lists it as uncharacterized. The record is from RefSeq and is a predicted model, not a curated record. NCBI's taxonomy places the organism in Eukaryota, Metazoa, Chordata, Actinopteri, Cypriniformes, Cyprinidae. The transcript has 2 exons.